CCAAGCUGGCUGGCUUCCUGGACCUCACAGAGCAGGAGUUCCGGAUCCAGCUUCUUGUCU
Molecule: microRNA precursor, 60 nt
Filed under: Homo sapiens (human)
Lineage: Eukaryota; Metazoa; Chordata; Mammalia; Primates; Hominidae
Description: miAB28_pre
Source: RNAcentral